CUCGGCCAGAGGCAGGCCGCGCACUGGCGCCCGCUCCCCGGGUACCCGCGGGGCCGGCGGGGCCGGCGGGUCCAGCCGGGAACCGAACCGGGGCCCGAAGCAGACUCCCGCCCGAGGAGAUAAAUCGCUCUCGGGACUCUGUGGCCUACUUAAUUCACUGAAUAAAACUGAGUCCUCCCCAGCUCCUGGUGACACCUGUCCUGCCGUCCCCGAGAACCGGCCUGUUCCAGGCACCUCAAAACCGUGUUUGCCCUGCGUCUGGCUCAUCUCAUUCAGCAUACGUUUUCAAAGUUCAUCCCUGUUGUAGCACGUAUCCGACGAAUUUCAUUGUUUUUAAGGCUGAAUAUUCCGUUUGAAUGGAACUGCUGGAUCACAUGGCAACUCUACGUUUAAUUUUUUGAAAACCACCAGUUUUCCACACUUACUGAACUGCUUUACAUUCCCACUAAGAAUGCUGGUAUCAUGUCCAUGAAGUUGUUGCCAAGUCCAAAAUCGUAAAAAUUUUCUCCAAAGUUUUCUUCUAAGGAUUUUACAGUUUUAGCUCUUCAGCUUGUCUCUGAUCCAUUUGGGACGUGCCUUGCACCAGAGUUGAUACUGAAAAAGUUCUGAUGGCCCUAGAGAAGCAGGAACCAAGAAAUGUUGACGUUUCAGGACUGUUUUUCUCUGAGUGACAGCCAGAAAUGUGUUGUGUUAUUGUCAGACUUGGAAAAGCUCAUGGAGAUUGCACAGCAAGUCACAAGCCCACACGGUCUAAAGCACACGACUGGAAAACCUCUAACGGCAGAAGUUGGAGACCUUUGAUGUGCCCCUCUCUAAACACAAAUCUGAUACAAACCUUAAAAACUCUUUUCAAAUCACAAAAUGUGUGGGUGUUUUGUUUUGUAUUGAAGCUUCAGUCAUUUGUAAGCAGAAUGCCUCAGAUGAUUGAUUUCCUAAUUGAGAAAGUUUCUCAGAGAUUUUUUACCUGUGCUUUCAUUUCUGGAUGCUAAAAAUGAACAAAAUCUUAGGCCCAAUAAAUAAUUCCAGCUCCCUCAUUACGCUGAGAAAUCUACAGGAAUUGAUUUGCUUAAGAUCAAAAAGCUAGUCGUUCACUGGCAGAGCCAGAGAACUCAAAUUUCCCUAUACCUGGUCCCCUGCUCGCUCUAAAAACCAUACUAUCUCCCUUGAACAAGACUUAAUAGAUGAUACAUAGCAUAUUGCAUUCAGUUGUGGGUGAGUCAUUUUAUAAGGAAUGUUGACAAACUACAGCAUGUUUAAAGAUGGGAAAGCAGGAAUGUUAAAGAGCUUAGGAUUUAAAUAAUAUCUUAAAAAAGAGGCCGGGGUGGGGAGCUGGGGAGGUGUAGUACCUAAUUUGUAGAAGAAAAGGCUAAGAGGAGUAUGCUGGCUCAUUUCAAAGAUGUGAGAGACUCUUGUAGUGGAAUAAGCCAUUUCUUCAUGCUUUUAUAGUCAUGGUUUCAGAGCGCAGAACCAGGACUAAAGAAUUAGGGUUGCUGUUGAUUGAGAAAUAGAGUUCAAUUAUAAAGAAUGAUAUGAAAAAGGCCUCCUCAUUGUUUCUUAUCAAAUAUAUUGAUAAAUGAUCUAUAUACAAAACUGCAUUCAUUUAAAAUGUACAGUUGAAUGAGUUGUGACAGUUGUAUACAGCUGUGAAAUCAACAUCGUAAUAAAAAAUACAGAACAUUUCCAGCAUCCCCAAGAUUCCUCCUUCUCUUUGUCCUCAGUCACAGGCAACCACUGGUCUGCUUUUUUUUUUUUUUUUUUUACUGUAGUUUUCAUUUUAUAUAAAUGGAAUCAUACAUCAUGCACUUUUUUGUGUCUGGUUUCUUUUACUCAGUGAAUUGGUUUUAAAUUCAUCCUGAUUGUUUUGUGUGUUGGUAGUUUAUUCCCUUUAUGUGCUGAGUAGUAUUCCAUCACAUAGACACACCACAUUCUGCUUAUCCAUUCACCAGUUGAACAUUUGGGUUGUUUCCAAUAUGGAUUAUUGUAAAAAAGUUGCUAUGAACGUUUGUGCAAAAGCUUUUAUGCAGACACAUGUCUUCAUUUCUGGGAGCAGAAUUAAUGCAUUGUAUGGUAGAUGUAUGUUUAACUUCUUAAGAAAGUUCCAUAUUGUUUUCCAAACUGGUUUUACUGUUUAACAUUUCCACCAGCAGUGUAUGAGAGUUUCAGUUAAUCUACAUCUUUGUCAACAAUCAUUAUUGUUAGCCUUUUUCACCUACCCUUUCUUAUGGGAGUAAUGAUAUCUUGUUUUAAUUUUACAAGUGGUUUUAGUUUCACUGAGGACUAAUGAAGUUGAGCAUCUUUUUGUGUACACAAACUAGGUAUCUUUUUUGAGAUGUUAUUGAGUUAUUUGUCUUAUUGCUGAAUUGAAGAAAUCUUUAUUCUGAAUAUCAGUCAGUCCUUUGUCAGAUACAUGAUAGAGAAUAUUUUCUCCUAUUCUGUGGUUUGCCUUUUCAUUUUCUCAACAUUUUCUUUCCAAGAGAAAAUAUUUCAUUUUGUGAAGUCCAAUUUAUACUUUUUUAAAUGAGUCAUGCCUUUUGUGUCCUAAGAAAUCUUUGCCUACCCAAGUCAGCAAAGAUUCUUUUCCGAUUUCGUUUUGUAAUAGUUUUAGGUUUAGGUUUUACCUUUAGGUUUACCAUGCAUUUCAGUUAAUUUUGGGUAUUGUGUGAAGUAAGGAUUGAUGUUCUUCAGCUCCCCCCUCAUAUGGACAUCCAGUUUUUCCAGCAGUGUUUGUUGAUUUUUCCUUUCUCCAUUGAAUUGCCUUGGCGACUUUGCUGGAAGUCAAUUAACUGUAUACGUAUGGUUCUAGUUCUGUACUAAUUUCAUUAGUAAUAUAAUAUCAUUAACAUAGUACAUAUUACAUAUAAAUAUAAUAAAAUAUUUUACUUUAUUUGCA
Long non-coding RNA from Camelus dromedarius (Arabian camel), 2890 nucleotides. RefSeq lists it as uncharacterized. NCBI's taxonomy places the organism in Eukaryota, Metazoa, Chordata, Mammalia, Artiodactyla, Camelidae. The transcript is spliced from 6 exons. The record is from RefSeq and is a predicted model, not a curated record.